Non-coding RNA from Triticum urartu, 1941 nucleotides. Lineage: Eukaryota; Viridiplantae; Streptophyta; Magnoliopsida; Poales; Poaceae. The record is from RefSeq and is a predicted model, not a curated record.
CACAAUUUCACAAGUCCAGCCAAAAAGCCGCACCGGUGUGGUUGAAAAUGAGCCACCGCCGCCGCUUCCUUCCCCCACGUCGGCGGCUUCUCUCCACCGCGCGCCGCCGUCCUCCUUCCCCGACGCCGGCCGCCUCCCUCCACCACGCGCCGCCAUCCUCCUUCCCCGACGCCAGCCGCCGCCUACUACCACACGCUGCCCUCCAUCCCCGGCGCCGGCCACCUCCCUUCACUACGCGCCGCUCCUCCUUCCCCGGCGCCGGAUGCCUCCCUCCACCACACGCCGCCCUCCUCCUUCCCCGGCGCCGGCCGCCUGCCUCCAUCACGCGUCGCCCCCUCCAUCCCCUGCGCCGGCCACCUACAUCCAUCGCGCAGAUCCCGCGCAGCCCCAAAACCUAAACGGCGCCGCCGCUGUCGUUCCUCACAGGAUCGACCCACCGCUAUCGCUCUGCUGCCGUGUACAACUGUACACGCAGUUCAACGCCUCAGCCCCAGGCCGUUCAAUGCCUCGCCGGCCUGCGGCUCCUCCAUGGACGCCUAGGUGCUCUACUAGAGCCACCGUGGCUGAUGGCAGCCCAUGGUGGAGUUCGUUGCGUCCAUCAGUCCAACCCCAUGGCUUCAGGGUGGACGAUUUUUGUCGCGGCCGUCAGUUCGGACACCUGUGUCACUGCGUGCGUUGCUACCACGGCCAUUUGCGUUACUACGUGCUCUGUCACCGGCCUUAUGCGCACCGUGACCCCUGGCGCACUCCUUCCUCUCCCUAACGCUGCUCGUGCCCUCCCAGGCUUGAUUUCCUGCUGCAGCGAUGAGCUCCUGUACAUUGCUGAAGUUCCGUACCUGACGGCACCAGCACGAGGAUGUAGCAGCCAGGCUGGACCCCGUGAACUGUGAUGCUCUACCGAUGGAGAGAAGUGUGGGAAACUGCACAAAUAUUGGUAUUUUGGGAGUUAUGAAUUUGGUGCUCCGUAGGUGCCUGCUCGUAUAUGCAAUUUUUAGGUGGGUGGUCCGACACCGCUGUGUCCAGCAGUCCAACACCGCCACUGAAGGCCGUUCAGUGUCGCAAUGCCUACUUUCGCCCGCGCCUCCUUCCCAGUCAUCGUGAGACCUGACGGAACAAGGCAGAACCUCUCUCUCGUACGCAGGAUGUUGCAACAGUUCGACUCACAGAGCUAGUAAGUUCGACGAAAAAACAGCACAAGGCAUGUCAGUUCACGCAGAGCAUAUCAGUCUUUCAGUUUCCUGAGCUCGCCAGUUCACCGACGGAAUCCGCAGCUCCCAGGCGGUUCACAGCCGCCGCCCUAGUCCGUUCGUCACUGCCAAUCGAGGUCGUUCGACAAUGCAGCGUUGAGGUCGGUCAACGACGCAAUGUGGCCAUGGAUGCGCCCAAUGAAGGACAGCGAAAGGCAAAAAACAAACUAGUGCAGCUGCUUGCCUCCUCUUCAUAUCCCAUACUAGAAAACAUCCUUCGCCCCCUCUGUUUUCUUAAGUAAGUUUUCAUUAAAAGACCUUAGAAUAGAAAGUAGAAGUUUGACAAAAGGACCUACAUCAGUUCAACCGCAGAAAGAUAACAAGUCCAUGGGAUGAUCUAUAAUUAAGUUCGAAAUUACUACAUGGUUAAUGUAUUUAACAUCAAGUCCAUGUAUUACUACAUGAGACUACAUCAGUUCUUAGGAAUUCUACUUCAGUUCAAUUUCUAAAUUUGGUUUACUUCAAUUCAGUUUAAUAUAUUUGUGUCAAUUUCUUCUUGUGAUGCUUAGACAUAGCUCAAAAUGCAGAUGCUGUUGUUUUAGAAUUUAUCAUUUCUGUAUGGAAUUAGGUGCGGUGUAUAGUCACUGCUGUUUAUUAAGCCACUUUGGUAGUACAUGAUAAAUACAUUAACCAUGCACCAGAUCCAGCGACCGGUGCCGCCCGCGCACCCAACAACCGGCGCCGCCCCCGAACC